This 329-nucleotide unclassified non-coding RNA is filed under the name soil metagenome. RNAcentral describes it as "partial contains 5.8S ribosomal RNA, internal transcribed spacer 2, and large subunit ribosomal RNA". The stretch from base 1 to 120 matches the Rfam family "5.8S ribosomal RNA", at positions 35 to 154 of the family's 154-position model. The record is from RNAcentral.
GAUGAAGAACGUAGCGAAAUGCGAUAAGUAAUGUGAAUUGCAGAAUUCAGUGAAUCAUCGAAUCUUUGAACGCACAUUGCGCCCUCUGGUAUUCCGGGGGGCAUGCCUGUUCGAGCGUCAUUAUAACCACUCAAGCUCUCGCUUGGUAUUGGAGUUCGCGAUCUCGCGGCUCCUAAAAUCAGUGGCGGUGCCUGUCGGCUCUACGCGUAGUAAUACUCCUCGCGAUUGAGUCCGGUAGGUUUACUUGCCAGCAACCCCCAAUUUUUACAGGUUGACCUCGGAUCAGGUAGGGAUACCCGCUGAUCUUAAGCAUAUCAAUAAGCGGAGGA